Molecule: non-coding RNA, 70 nt
Organism: Dipodomys ordii (Ord's kangaroo rat)
Lineage: Eukaryota; Metazoa; Chordata; Mammalia; Rodentia; Heteromyidae
Source: Rfam
GGGAAGGUGGCUCAGUGGUAGAGCUCUUGCCUUGCAUGCAUGAGGCCCUGGGUUCGAUUCCUCAAUACUA